AGGCAAUCAUGUUGGCCGUUAUGAAAAAAUUGACUUACGAUGAAGAAUAUAACUUUGAAAAUGAGGGUGAAGAUGAAGCCAUGUUUGUAGAAUAUAGAAAACAACUGAAGUUACUGUUGGACAGGCUUGCUCAAGUUUCACCAGAGUUACUACUGGCCUCUGUUCGCAGAGUUUUUACUUCUACACUGCAGAAUUGGCAGACUACACGGUUUAUGGAAGUUGAAGUAGCAAUAAGAUUGCUGUAUAUGUUGGCAGAAGCUCUUCCAGUAUCUCAUGGUGCUCACUUCUCAGGUGAUGUUUCAAAAGCUAGUGCUUUGCAGGAUAUGAUGCGAACUGUAAGUAUACUGAAGAUAAUUUUGACCAUAAAUUUCUGUUUUCAGUAUAAGCUAAUGGGAGUUCCUUAUUGUUAGAGCUUAGUAUAUGUUAAUACUGGGGUGUUUUGAUGUUGCAAUAAAUAAGAAGAGGUUUCCUAACUUUUUCCUGCUCUAGCUGGUAACAUCAGGAGUCAGUUCCUAUCAGCAUACAUCUGUGACGUUGGAGUUCUUCGAAACUGUUGUUAGAUAUGAAAAGUUUUUCACAGUUGAACCUCAGCACAUUCCAUGUGUACUAAUGGCUUUCUUAGAUCACAGAGGUCUGCGGCAUUCCAGUGCAAAAGUUCGGAGCAGAACGGCUUACCUGUUUUCUAGAUUUGUCAAAUCUCUCAAUAAGCAAAUGAAUCCUUUCAUUGAGGAUAUUUUGAAUAGAAUACAAGAUUUAUUAGAGCUUUCUCCACCUGAGAAUGGCCACCAGUCCUUACUGAGCAGCGAUGAUCAACUUUUUAUUUAUGAGACAGCUGGAGUGCUGAUUGUUAAUAGUGAAUACCCGGCAGAAAGGAAACAAGCCUUAAUGAGGAAUCUGUUGACUCCACUAAUGGAGAAGUUUAAAAUUCUGUUAGAAAAGUUGAUGCUGGCACAAGAUGAAGAAAGGCAAGCCUCUCUAGCAGACUGUCUCAACCAUGCUGUUGGAUUUGCAAGUCGAACCAGUAAAGCUUUCAGCAACAAACAGACUGUGAAACAAUGUGGCUGUUCCGAAGUUUAUCUGGACUGUUUACAGACAUUCUUGCCAGCCCUCAGUUGUCCCUUACAAAAGGAUAUUCUCAGAAGUGGAGUCCGUACUUUCCUUCAUCGAAUGAUUAUUUGCCUGGAGGAAGAAGUUCUUCCGUUCAUUCCAUCUGCUUCAGAACAUAUGCUCAAAGAUUGUGAAGCAAAAGAUCUCCAGGAGUUCAUUCCUCUUAUCAACCAGAUUACGGCCAAAUUCAAGAUACAGGUAUCCCCGUUUUUA
Molecule: small RNA, 1320 nt
Filed under: Pongo abelii (Sumatran orangutan)
Lineage: Eukaryota; Metazoa; Chordata; Mammalia; Primates; Hominidae
Description: retained intron
Source: RNAcentral